Molecule: long non-coding RNA, 209 nt
Filed under: Linum usitatissimum (flax)
Lineage: Eukaryota; Viridiplantae; Streptophyta; Magnoliopsida; Malpighiales; Linaceae
Description: long non-coding RNA (LUSI_LNC007377)
Source: RNAcentral
GGCGACCUUUGAAGACACCGGCACGACUAUCCAGUAGAAAUAAAGCAUAAAGAAGAGCAGCCAGCGGCUCAACACAUCGCCGGCAAAACGAGGGAGAAGCACAAAAAAAACACUAAAACAAUGUAUUUUUCGGAGAAAACAACGUGCCAUCUACACGCUUAUUUACAGUCAAAUGUGGUUUGUUAUAUCUCGAAAAAUUCCAAACUCAC